AGUGAACGCUGGCGGUAGGCCUAACACAUGCAAGUCGAACGGCAGCACAGUAAGAGCUUGCUCUUACGGGUGGCGAGUGGCGGACGGGUGAGGAAUACAUCGGAAUCUACUUUUUCGUGGGGGAUAACGUAGGGAAACUUACGCUAAUACCGCAUACGACCUACGGGUGAAAGCAGGGGAUCUUCGGACCCUGCGCGAUUGAAUGAGCCGAUGUCGGAUUAGCUAGUUGGCGGGGUAAAGGCCCACCAAGGCGACGAUCCGUAGCUGGUCUGAGAGGAUGAUCAGCCACACUGGAACUGAGACACGGUCCAGACUCCUACGGGAGGCAGCAGUGGGGAAUAUUGGACAAUGGGCGCAAGCCUGAUCCAGCCAUACCGCGUGGGUGAAGAAGGCCUUCGGGUUGUAAAGCCCUUUUGUUGGGAAAGAAAAGCAGCAGGUUAAUACCCCGCUGUUCUGACUGUACCCAAAGAAUAAGCACCGGCUAACUUCGUG
This 492-nucleotide ribosomal RNA is filed under the name uncultured bacterium. RNAcentral describes it as "partial 16S ribosomal RNA". It matches the Rfam family "Bacterial small subunit ribosomal RNA", at positions 29 to 507 of the family's 1533-position model. The record is from RNAcentral.